Molecule: ribosomal RNA, 439 nt
Filed under: uncultured bacterium
Lineage: Bacteria
Description: partial 16S ribosomal RNA
Rfam family: Bacterial small subunit ribosomal RNA
Source: RNAcentral
CCUACGGGGGGCAGCAGUGGGGAAUAUUGCACAAUGGGGGAAACCCUGAUGCAGCGACGCCGCGUGAGUGAAGAAGUAUCUCGGUACGUAAAGCUCUAUCAGCAGGGAAGCAAAUGACGGUACCUGACUAAGAAGCCCCGGCUAACUACGUGCAAGCAGCCGCUGAAAUACGUAGGGGGCAAGCGGUAUCCGGAUUUAUUGGGUUUAAAGGGUGCGUAGGCGGAAUGCCAAGUCAGCGGUAAAAUCGCGGGGCUCAACCCCGCUCCGCCGUUGAAACUGGCGUUCUUGAGUGGGCGAGAAGUAUGCGGAAUGUGUGGUGUAGCGGUGAAAUGCAUAGAUAUCACGCAGAACUCCGAUUGCGAAGGCAGCAUACCGGCGCCCAACUGACGCUGAAGCACGAAAGCGUGGGUAUUGAACAGGAUUAGAUACCCCGGUAGUC